UCAUUUGGUAAUGUCUUCGGCUUGCAAUCACAUUUCCAGCUCAGUCUCCGCAUUUUGCUUGUAGGUUAGAAACCGUUUAGUUUAUAUUCUGUUUCAAGUAAUCAUCAUAACAAAUUACUUUUAUUAUUUUAAUUUACAACAAUGUCUGACUCUAAAAAGAAAGUUUGCAUCAUUGGCUCUGGGAACUGGGGCUCAGCAAUAGCAAAAAUAGUUGGUGAAAAUGCGGCCAAACUGGACUCCUUCCACAACGAAGUUACCAUGUAUGUCUACGAGGAGAUGAUAGACGGCAAAAAGCUCACUGAAAUCAUCAACGAAACUCACGAAAACGUCAAAUACCUUCCAGGGCAUAAGCUUCCUCCUAAUGUCGUUGCCAUUCCAGAUGUUACAGUUGCCGCCACUGAUGCCGAUAUUCUAAUAUUUGUGAUUCCUCAUCAGUUCAUUAGGAGGAUUUGUGCUACACUUUUAGGGAAAAUUAAACCAACCGCCGUUGGUCUCUCUUUGAUCAAAGGAUUUGACAAGGCGGAAGGUGGUGGAAUCGAUCUUAUCUCAGACAUCAUCUCCAGACUUUUGAAAAUUCAAGUAUGUGUUCUAAUGGGUGCUAACCUAGCCAACGAAGUUGCUGAGCAGAAUUUCUGUGAAACAACGAUAGGUUGCAAAGACAGACAAUUGGCUCCAUUGCUGAGAGAUCUCAUUCAAACGCAUCAUUUCCGUGUUGUGGUGGUUGAUGAUGUCAACACCGUGGAAAUCUGUGGAGCGCUCAAGAACAUAGUGGCGUGUGGAGCCGGUUUCGUGGACGGUUUGAAGCUGGGCGACAACACGAAGGCGGCUGUCAUUCGAUUGGGUCUGAUGGAGAUGAUCAAGUUCGUCGACCUGUUCUACCCCGGCUGUCAGGUGACCACCUUCUUCGAGAGCUGUGGUGUCGCCGACCUCAUCACCACCUGCUACGGCGGCAGAAACCGAAAGAUAUCCGAGGCUUUCGUCACGACCGGUAAGUCAAUUGAAGAGUUGGAAAAGGAAAUGUUAAACGGCCAAAAACUGCAGGGACCCUUCACUGCCGAUGAAGUCAAUUACAUGCUCAAGAGCAAAAACUUGGAAGAAAAGUUUCCUCUGUUCACUGCUGUCCAUAAAAUAUGUGUGGGAGAAAUGCCAGUUUCAAAAUUUAUUGAUGCCAUCAGAUUCCAUCCAGAGCAUUCGCUAUGGCAGAAAAUAAGUGAGAAAAAGUGUUCACUAUAGUGAGUGUUGUAAGAUUGUGAUAUGAGUGAGUAUGCUUGGAAGAACCGCUGAUACAUUCACCCAAAUCGCCACUGUACUCCUCGCGUGAAAGAAACUCAGGCCACAGCAUGAUAAGUUAUCAGAAGUUAAUACAUUUCAACAGUGAUAAUAGUUUAUCAACCUUAGAUGAAGACGAAGAAUAUUAUCUAAGUCAGUCAUAAUUUUGCAGAUUUUUUACCUCCAAGGUAAUAUUCGCCAAAUAAAAAUUGAUUAUGUAUUAUUGGGAUAUUAGUAUAACUAUUGUGCUAUAGAAUAGUAAUUUUUCUUUUCAUAGUUUAUUUUAGUUUGUUGAAAAUCUUUAGUUAUAUUAAUUUUGUUCGGUUGUAGUUCAAAACAUUAAUAUCAAAGUAACGAAAAAUUUAGUAGUAUCAAAAUUGUUUUUUAUUUUUAGUAAUUCAUCAAUAUUGUAAUUGUUGGUUAAUUCAUUUGUGUAUGGGGUGAAUUUGGAUUUUAUUAUCUCGAAAGAUUUUUUUUUAUUUAUCUUAAUGUAGUAGAUUACCAACAUUGGUUCUUGAAUUGUUUUCAUUCUAUUCUUUUAUUAAUGUUGCUCCACACCAAAUUCCACAAUAGCAUCUUAGCUUUGGAAUGCAUGAAGCGAAUAAUUCUCACCCUCCGAUUAGGUAGGUUGUCUGAUUGAGGACGUUUUAUCAAUAGAAGAAAUAAAAAAAGUUACUUGGACACUCAGAAGUUAUGAGUGAAUAUUUAAGGUUUGUUCAGUAUAACCUACAUCUAUGUUCUUCCACUGUUAUUUGAUAAUUUUUAUUUUAGUGAUUACCAAUCUGAAUUAACUUUUCAAUUGCUUUUAAAUAUGUUCCAGUUCAUACGUUAAACAUAGUUUAUUUGAAUUAAAACUGAUUUCUUAAAACUUAUUUUUUCUCAUGAAAAAGCACUUAAUAGUACUGUACCUCAUUAUCGCCAUCAGCUAAUCAAAAUUUUGUUCGUUUUUAUACGUAAAACAUUGUAAUAAUGAAUAACUCUAACCAGAGUUUUUUUACUUUUAGAAGUACGGUAUCUCUAAUAGCAUGUAACUGAAGUUACAACAUGAAAUAUUGGCAAUAAAACGAAUGCAUAGCAUAGUUUAGAUAAGAUUUCCAUAACUGUAUUUGCGAGUACAAUAAUUAUUUUAUCGAUUUUGAAUCACCAUUGAACGGCAAUAUAAGAAAUGUCUCUGUUGUACUUGAUAUAAUCUAUUUACAGUUAUUCUGAUGUAUCAAUACUUGUAGCUUUUAUAUUGAAAAUAGCGAAAUAAAUAACAUCGCCAUUGCAAUAUUUAUAGAAAAUUGUAAAUUUUACCUCUAAUUGAUAUUUCAAUUGCAAUAUUUAUGGAAAAUUAUACAUUUUACCUCUAUUUAUACUGUCAUCUUACGUGCCAUCGUGAUAUUAACAAAUGAGAUUACCUAAAAUAUCUAGUUUAUACGAGUGAAAUAUGUCAUGUUUUUAGGAAAGGUGUAUAUAAUCUAAUCAACGGCAUUUCUAUUGUGAAUAAAACUUCUACAGACUCUCGCAAUGUACAGUACAAUAUUGAUUAGAUAAUAAAAAGCAAAGACUGUGAAAAAUGAACAAUGAUGUAUUCUGGUAAUUUCUUUAUUCACCAAUAAAGAUUUUAAUAUAA
This 2884-nucleotide unclassified non-coding RNA is filed under the name Nilaparvata lugens (brown planthopper). Its description in RNAcentral is "glycerol-3-phosphate dehydrogenase [NAD(+)], cytoplasmic, transcript variant X1". Lineage: Eukaryota; Metazoa; Arthropoda; Insecta; Hemiptera; Delphacidae. The record is from RNAcentral.